This 90-nucleotide non-coding RNA is filed under the name Pseudomonas lurida. The record is from RNAcentral. Lineage: Bacteria; Pseudomonadati; Pseudomonadota; Gammaproteobacteria; Pseudomonadales; Pseudomonadaceae.
UAGGAGAGGGGGCUUGCUCCCGAUAGCGCUGGAUCAGUCAAUUGAGAGGUCGACUGAUUUACCGCUAUCGGGGGCAAGCCCCCUCCCACA